GUUUAAUAAAUCAUAUUACAAAAUAUCUCAAAUAAAAAAAUAAUGCUAUUAAGUAAAAUUGUCAAAAGAUAACAUAUUAGUUCAUUUUAUAUAUGGUUGAAAAUUAAAUUUUGCCUAGCUAAGUGUAUGUUCUUAAUAUAUUUUAACAAUGUAUUUAAUAUAGUAACUCAAACUUAUUGUAAGACCUCAACUUAUUAUAAAUAAAAUUGAAUUUUUUCUAUUCAAUAUCUAAAUUAAUAAGGUGUUAAUUUGAUAUAAUACUUUGGUUAUGGGUCAAAUAUGCAAAUUUUACAAAAUAAGUAAGUGGUUAUAAAAUAUUUCUUUUAUCGGAGAAUAUUCGUUUGGUCGUGGAAUAUUCUUUUUGUCGAAAAUAUCCGUACAACGGCGCAGUCAAUUGUGGGUCCCAUAACGGAAUAACUUUCGGAUGAAGAAAAUGACAAAGUUUGAGUUUUAUAAAUAACGGCGUAAUUGUUACCGUUAACACUGUUGGAAUACCUGGUGGUUAAAAUACAGUAAUACGCGUGGUUGCACAGUAGUACACGGUAUUGCACAAUAUUGUUGAAUUAUUGAUUCAUACGUAAGAAGACACUACUAUAUAAUUGUUACAGUAGUUACUGUUCAAUAUUUUAUUUUAUUGAUUCAAUAAUUGCUGCGUUAAUAUUUUAUAUUAUUGUUGUUUCAAUAAUUGUCACUGCACAGAAUUUUCCAUUAUCAGAUUAAUAAUUCAUAUUAUUUGAAUAAUAUUAUUAGAUAGCAUUAUUGGCAAUGCCUAGAAAGUUCUGUCAAUGAGAGGUUUGGUCACCUAAUUGCGCGCCAGUAAGGAGAAAUCCUUAUCGAAAAGCCCCCUCUUUCCUGGGAACGGCCUGGUUGUCAUAAUUGUGAUUUUGUAAUAUUAUUUGUAAAAUAAUUAAUUAUUGAUGUAUAUGAUAAGGAAAUAUUUAUUUGAUGUGGAUAUAAAUGAUGAAUUUAUUUAUUUUAUGUGGUUAUAAAUGAAGGAAUUAAUGCUGAGGUGUUUUAUCAGUAUUUUGUCGGAAAUGAGGUAUUAAAAAUCACCAGUUUAUGGAUUUUGGAUAUUUUAUGUAUGAAAUUUGGAAAAACUCAAAGCUACAAAGUUGUAGAGAAUUCGAUUUCAUGUGAAAUGGACAUAAAAUUCGUAUUUUUCUGAUAAACGAGCUAUUUUCUAUGAAUUAUUGAAGUUUCAGAAAAUAAAAUAAUUUUUAUUAAAAUUGGGUGGGACCCACUUUUGUUUUAACACAUGUGGGCUACAAAAUUUUGUUCAAAGAUGGCUGGUGGCUGAGAAUUGUCAAGAGGCAUGCCUAGAAAAGAAAGAAAUUAUAUUGAUAUUUUAUUAUUUUAGUUUCCUAUGGCGUUCUAGCAUUUUCCUAUAAAUAGGCGCUUAGGUUAGAAUUGAAAAUCACACCAGAAAUAAAUUUUCUUUCUCUCUAGAUUAUCGAGCGUAAUUUUAUGAGUAUUUAUAUACUUUGAGAGUUGCUGUUCGGUCGGCUUUAUAUCCGAUAUUCCGAUCAGAAGUACCGUUAUUUUGAGGUAAGAGAUGUUAUUUUCUUCUUAAAUGAUAUUAUUUUCUUCAAUAUCAUUAUGUCGAAAUAUUGGUGAACGUUUUAAUCAAAUUUGGAACUUUUUGUGUCGGGGUUACUAUUCACGUAUACGGCACUAUUCACGAAUACGGCACUUUUCACCGAAGAAUGAAAAUUUUUCUUUUUAUCCAAGAUGUCUAUUUUGGCUACUAUAUAUCUUUGAUUGUAUCCAUGUUCUAAUCGUUAUUUUUGAAUUCUGCUUCACAAUUGAUUAUUAUGAAGUAUUAUUGAUCUUGGAUAAACUGUUAUACGAAUCCCUAAUAUUAGUCCUUCUGUCUCACUGGAUUCGUUUUCUUUAAAGUAUUUUUCAUCAUCCUCAGUCUUAAAUGAUGAUAUUGCUGAAUAUCUUUGGCCUGUAGUGCAAAGAUGAAUGAUUAACUGAUGAA
This 1981-nucleotide long non-coding RNA is filed under the name Panax ginseng (ginseng). RNAcentral describes it as "long non-coding RNA (PGIN_LNC008833)". Lineage: Eukaryota; Viridiplantae; Streptophyta; Magnoliopsida; Apiales; Araliaceae. The record is from RNAcentral.